Molecule: ribosomal RNA, 497 nt
Filed under: uncultured bacterium
Lineage: Bacteria
Description: partial 16S ribosomal RNA
Rfam family: Bacterial small subunit ribosomal RNA
Source: RNAcentral
GAUGAACGCUGGCGGCGUGCCUAAUACAUGCAAGUCGAGCGAACAGACGAGGAGCUUGCUCCUCUGACGUUAGCGGCGGACGGGUGAGUAACACGUGGAUAACCUACCUAUAAGACUGGGAUAACUUCGGGAAACCGGAGCUAAUACCGGAUAACAUGUUGAACCGCAUGGUUCAACAGUGAAAGACGGUUUUGCUGUCACUUAUAGAUGGAGCCGCGCCGGAUUAGCUAGUUGGUAAGGUAACGGCUUACCAAGGCAACGAUGCGUAGCCGACCUGAGAGGGUGAUCGGCCACACUGGAACUGAGACACGGUCCAGACUCCUACGGGAGGCAGCAGUAGGGAAUAUUCCGCAAUGGGCGAAAGCCUGACGGAGCAACGCCGCGUGAGUGAAGAAGGUCUUCGGAUCGUAAAACUCUGUUAUUAGGGAAGAACAAAUGUGUAAGUAACUAUGCACGUCUUGACGGUACCUAAUCAGAAAGCCACGGCUAACUACGUG